This is a long non-coding RNA of Alligator mississippiensis (American alligator), 1262 nucleotides long. RefSeq lists it as uncharacterized. The transcript has 2 exons. The record is from RefSeq and is a predicted model, not a curated record. NCBI's taxonomy places the organism in Eukaryota, Metazoa, Chordata, Crocodylia, Alligatoridae.
UCCCAGUGAAGCUGUGCUAUAGUUUUGCUCGUCUGAUUUGAUGAGUCAUAAAUGGAUUUAAUUUCCAGCAUUCUUUGACUGCAGGGAAUCUUACUCUUAAGUGUGUGGCAGAAGACCUUUCAAAAGCCCUCAGCAUGGAGAUGGAUUCAACUCCCAAGCAUCUACCUAAUUUCCAGACUGAAAGUAUGGACUACCGGGGUGCAGCUUUGAUAAUAAGUAGAAGAGUAGUACCAAGGAGAGCUGUGACCAGCAAACAUACUACAUGGCUGUGAUGUCAUUCAUGGGACAGAAAAAAUUGCACAUCUUCACACUGGCUCACCGACUUUGGGUAUGGGAAGUACUAACAAAGAGAUAUGUGUGUACAUGAAGUACAUCCAUAGUGAAUCUUGAGUAAAAGGACUGGGCAGAAGAAUGAAGAACUGAAGGUCUUCAGGUACUUACUAGUAAACUAGCUCUUGAGCAAUCUCUUUUCACUACUCUUCCAUUUCUUACUUUAAGUCUCUGCUUUUAAAGAGCUACAGUCUUCCAUCAUUGCCUUUGUCUUGCAUUCUUAUGUGAAAACUUAAUACUUGAACAUAUAAUGGGAUUAACCAUAUGCUUAAAGUUAAGCACACAUUUAAGAAUGGUCAUGAAUAGGAAUGCUUUCCUGAAUCUGUUAGUCUCAGUCCAGCACUAAAGACUUUAUUCAGCUUCCUUUAAGUUUCCCAUCAAGACUCAAUUUGACUUUAAUAGGAUCUAAAUGAAGCCCUAAUUAAACAUAUCUCAGAAUUAUUACAAAUCUCUAUACUGUAUAAAUCAGGAUGUCACAUUAUUUAAAUUUAAAAAGUAAUAUAUGGCUAACACAUUGUUUCCUGAAGCAAAACAUCUGAUUUAAAAAUAACUCAUAAGAUUAUGUUUUUAGUGCUGUUAGAGGUGUAGACCUUCAUGCUUGUGUUGCUUGUUUAUAAGAAGAUUGUUACGUGAUUAUCUUGAAUCGUCAUUGCUUUGUAGAUGUUUUUGUUUUAAACAGAAAUGUCAAAUCUUGCUCUUAGUCUGACUUUCAUUUUUAGUUUUAAUAUUCAUUAGAAACUAACUUAGACAUUCAAAAAAUGUAUUUAGAUUAUUUGUGUUCUUAAAGAUUUUUGUGCCUAAUUUGCAACACACUGUUAAAAUUGCCAUUUGUACCCUGACUUACCCAUGAAAUCCAUUGUCCCUCUGUUUUAUUUUGAGUUUAGCUUAUUUCUAUAAAUACGUUAAAGGAAUAAAUGGCUUAUGAAAAACAA